CAGCCGCCACGGUAGUACGUAGGGUGCAAGCGUUAAUCGGAAUUACUGGGCGUAAAGCGUGCGCAGGCGGUGAUGUAAGACAGUUGUGAAAUCCCCGGGCUCAACCUGGGAACUGCAUCUGUGACUGCAUCGCUGGAGUACGGCAGAGGGGGAUGGAAUUCCGCGUGUAGCAGUGAAAUGCGUAGAUAUCAAGAGGAACACCUGAGGCGAAGGCGGGUUGCUGGGCCGACACUGACGCUGAUGCGCGAAAGCCAGGGGAGCAAACGGGAUUAGAUACCCCGGUAGUCCCUGUCUCUUAUAC
RNAcentral lists this ribosomal RNA (301 nucleotides) under uncultured bacterium. RNAcentral describes it as "partial 16S ribosomal RNA". It matches the Rfam family "Bacterial small subunit ribosomal RNA", at positions 509 to 807 of the family's 1533-position model. The record is from RNAcentral.